Molecule: ribosomal RNA, 403 nt
Filed under: uncultured bacterium
Lineage: Bacteria
Description: bacterial SSU rRNA
Rfam family: Bacterial small subunit ribosomal RNA
Source: RNAcentral
GACGAACGCUGGCGGCGUGGAUAAGACAUGCAAGUCGAACGGGACUUAAUCUGUAGCAAUACAGGUUAAGUUUAGUGGCGAACGGGUGCGUAACACGUGGGCAAUCUGCCGAGAAGUGGGGGAUAGCUCGCCGAAAGGCGAAUUAAUACCGCAUAUGAUCAGGGACGACAUCUUCCCAACAUCAAAGCCGGGGCAACCUGGCGCUUCUUGAGGAGCCCGCGGCCUAUCAGCUAGUUGGUGAGGUAACGGCUCACCAAGGCUAUGACGGGUAGCUGGUCUGAGAGGACGACCAGUCACACUGGAACUGAGACACGGUCCAGACACCUACGGGUGGCAGCAGUCGAGAAUUUUUCNCAAUGGGGAAACCCUGAAGGAGCGACGCCGCGUGGAGGAUGAAGACUUU